This 696-nucleotide ribosomal RNA is filed under the name uncultured archaeon. RNAcentral describes it as "bacterial SSU rRNA". It matches the Rfam family "Archaeal small subunit ribosomal RNA", at positions 50 to 754 of the family's 1478-position model. The record is from RNAcentral.
CAUGCAAGUCGAGAGUCUUCGGGACUCGGCAUACUGCUCAGUAAUAUGUGGUUAACCUACCCUAUACUCAGGGAUAAUCUCGGGAAACUGAGGCUAAUACCUGAUAGAUAUCCUGUUCUGGAAUGACAGAAUAUCCAAAGGUGACGGUAUAGGAUGGGACCAUACCUUAUCAGCCUGUUGGAGGUGUAAAGAACCCUCAAAGCUAUAACGGGUACGGGCCAUGAGAGUGGGAGCCCGGAGAUGGAUUCUGAGACAUGAAUCCAGGUCCUACGGGACGCAGCAGUUACGAAAACUUCGCAAUGCUCUAACGAGCGACGAGGGAAUCCGGAGUGCUCAUGCUCUGCAUGGGCUUUUGUUUACUUCAAACAGGUAAACGAAUAAGGGGUGGGUAAUACGAGUGCCAGCCGCCGCGGUAAUACUCGAGCCCCAAGUGGUAUUCACGAUUAGUGGGUCUAAAGCGUCCGUAGCCGGUUCGAUAAGUCCCUAGUGAAAUCCUUUGGUAAACUGAAGGGCCUGCUGGGGGUACUGCCGAACUUGGGACUGGGAGAGGGUAGACGUACUCCCGGGGGAGGGGUAAAAUCCUAUAAUCCUGGGGGGACGACCUGUGGCGAAGGCUUCUACCUAGAACAGGUUCGACGGUGAGGGACGAAACCUAGGGUAGCAAACGGGAUUAGAUACCCCGGUAGUCCUAGGCGU